CUUUGUCGGAUUAAAAUGCAACACCAUGUGUUUUCCUCUGAUAACGAAACAAUUAUUUUAUAGUCUUUUAAUCACGUUUGCACACUUUCCUGUAACAAAUAUAUCUAUAAUAUAUUUCUAUAUAUAUGUAGUCAGAUUCUGAGAACACAUUUCUGAUUCUGAUUCUAUGUUGCGCAUUAACUCGAUGCGUCACGCGAACCUGCAUUUUAUCAGUGCCAAAGCAUGGGAGGAGUGACUCAUUGACACUAUUUAAGGCCCUGAAUAUUUGUUGGCUCCUCAGUUAUCACUCUCUCAGCAGCAUGCAGAUGAUCCAAACAGGCUUCGGGAUGCUCACACCUCUGGCUUUUGGCUUGGUUUAUCUGAUUUGCAGCCUCACCGCUGUCCGUGCUGAGGCUGGCAAGGGAACAUCUGUAGCCUCUUCAGGGGACAGCAACCGAACAACCGGUAUGGAAAUACAGCGUCACAACAACACAGCUGUGUGCUGUGAGAAUCAACUCUAUCCAGUGGCAGAGCUCUCAUAUUGUGGAGAGAAGGCUUUCAACCCAGAAGAAGCCACUUGUUGCCCAUAUGAAAAUGGAAGCACCAUAACAGAGGGCCUUAGUGAAAAGGUGUCAGCUUGCUGUGGACUGAAGGCAUACGACCAGCUCAAUCAAAUAUGCUGUCACGGAACCAUCCUAGUCAAACCUGGGCCAAACGCCCAAUGUUGUGAUAAAAAGGCUUUUGAUGUCGACGAGCAGAUGUGUUGUGGACCGCUGACCAAUAAGACAAUCCUAACAAAAGAAUCCUCAGACCACCGAUGCUGUGGACAAAACAGUUUUAACCCAACGACUCAAUGCUGCUGUUCGAUAAAUGAAAGUCUAAGCAUAUGGUCCAAGGAUUCCAGCUGCUGCGAGAAGGCUGACUGUGGACAGAACACCUACAACACAAGCGACAAACUAUGCUGUCAAUCAACGGUUGUUAGCAAAAAUGUAUCAAAUGCCCAAUGCUGUGGUAAACAGGCGUUUAAUAACGACACACAAUUGUGUUGUGGUCCUUCUGAUGACAAGAUAAUCCUGGAGAGAAUCUCUAUUGACCACCUCUGUUGUGGACGUAACCGGUUCGACACCAACAAGGAGUGCUGCUGUUUGACAAAGGAAGGUCUUCAGAUACAACAGAUCAAUUCCAGCUGCCGUCGGGAUCAGGGUCAAUCUUCUGAUGCCACUGCUGUGUUUAACCCACACAUAGGUGUCUGCUGUGGACGCUGUGUGUCUGAUUGGAACCCUUCGACAGAUCAACUUCAUGGCCCGCCUGGACAACAUAGCUGCAGGACGAAAGUUUAUCGGCCUCACGCGGGGAUCAUUUGCGAUGGACCAAGGACUCCUCACUUCUGUGGGUCAAAAGCCUACGACAUUAAAGACCCAGGAAUGAAGUGCUGCGCAGGAACAUUGCACAACCUCACUCAAGUACCAGAGGCGCAGUGCUGUGGCUCCAUCCUGCAAAACAAACCGAACGUAUGCUGUUUGAGUGAGCACAUGGAGGUGCUCUACUCCAACAAGACGAAAUUUGAAUGCUGUGGUCACCUCUACUACAACACCUCCCUAUGGUCAUGCUGUGCAGGGACGCUGAGCGCUGUGCCUCCACGAGGACAGCAUCCGAAAUCCAUACUUCGAUCUUUGGGCAAUUUGAAUGAGACGGAUCUUUGUGGCAAACUGCAAGUCGGGAUUGUGGAAAGGGACGGCCUGAAUGGGAUCGUAUUCAACAGUGUGUUGAUAAUCCAUGGAAGGAAUGGCAGUGUGAUACCCAGGAGCGGGCUUCACACCCUGAGUACAGGAACCGAUGGCUGCAGCAACGCAAAACUGGUCCCUGGGAAGAGCUACUUCUUUGAUGACGUUAAAGUAAAUGUCUUCACAGAUCUCAACCACGACUCUAUUCUCCAGUCCAUCUAUUUCAUUAUUUCUAAGUGUCAUACGAAUAUAUAAGAUUAUAGACUUUAUGUUCAGGGUCGGACGAUUUACUAACUAAUCUAACAUGCAGCUAAUUUAUAGAUGUUGAGUUUUGGAUUAACACCAUUUGUUAAAAAACAACUGUGGAGUUAUCAAAAGCAAUAUUCCUUGUCUCUUAGCAGAGGACAGCCAUUAUCAAUUAUCAGGCUGGAGCUUGUUCACUAAGUCCACAUAUUAGUCUGUUAACUUAUGCACAUCAAUAAAACUACUCUCAAAUUGUGAAGUAGCAGAGCAUCAAAAGAAUUAUUAUAUACAAUGUCCAUGAAGUUCAUGACAGGAUGAUCUAAAUCUUUUGCAUAACUGGUGGUUGCAAUUACCAAUGUUUAGUAAUCACCGCAAGAUGGUGACACUCAUCACGGUGAACUAUUUGUUUUCAAGAUUAAUGUUUGUGUGAUUAAUGUGUCUGUGAUUUUAAUAAGCUAAUAAGCUAAACAGCUAUUAGAACAUGUGUUUUCAUUUUUGGAACAUUAUGCUCUAUUUUGGAUUUUUAAAUUUGCACAAAACUACAUUAAUAGUGAGUCACUCAUGAAAAUGUAUGUUUGAAUAUAAAUGACAGGAUUUGUCACAUUAUGUGUCACAUGUGCUAAACAAAGCUGAAAGACCAAUCACUUAAAUAUUAAGCUGUGGUGCAUUGAAUUUCUAUGGUGCGUUGAAGUUAUAUUUCUUAACAAUAUGUAUGUUACCCAUAGUUCCAUGUUCCUGUAGCUAGGAACAUGGCAUUAGUAUGAAGGUACUUUUCCCACUUUGAGCGUGUUGCUAUCGCCUUAGUGUGGCCUAAAGGAUUCUGGA
Long non-coding RNA from Gasterosteus aculeatus aculeatus (three-spined stickleback), 2771 nucleotides. The record is from Ensembl. Lineage: Eukaryota; Metazoa; Chordata; Actinopteri; Perciformes; Gasterosteidae.